RNAcentral lists this ribosomal RNA (433 nucleotides) under uncultured bacterium. Its description in RNAcentral is "partial 16S ribosomal RNA". It matches the Rfam family "Bacterial small subunit ribosomal RNA", at positions 29 to 507 of the family's 1533-position model. The record is from RNAcentral.
AACGAACGCUGGCGGCAGGCUUAACACAUGCAAGUCGAACGGAUCCUUCGGGAUUAGUGGCAGACGGGUGAGUAACGCGUGGGAACGUACCCUUUGCUACGGAAUAACUCAGGGAAACUUGAGCUAAUACCGUAUGUGCCCUACGGGGGAAAGAUUUAUCGGCAAAGGAUCGGCCCGCGUUGGAUUAGCUAGUUGGUGGGGUAAUGGCCUACCAAGGCGACGAUCCAUAGCUGGUCUGAGAGGAUGAUCAGCCACACUGGGACUGAGACACGGCCCAGACUCCUACGGGAGGCAGCAGUGGGGAAUAUUGGACAAUGGGCGCAAGCUUGAUCCAGCCAUGCCGCGUGAGUGAUGAAGGUCUUAGGAUUGUAAAGCUCUUUCACCGGUGAAGAUAAUGACGGUAGCCGGAGAAGAAGCCCCGGCUAACUUCGUG